This 500-nucleotide ribosomal RNA is filed under the name uncultured bacterium. Its description in RNAcentral is "partial 16S ribosomal RNA". It matches the Rfam family "Bacterial small subunit ribosomal RNA", at positions 30 to 523 of the family's 1533-position model. The record is from RNAcentral.
AUUGAACGCUGGCGGAAUGCUUUACACAUGCAAGUCGAACGGCAGCACGGCCUUCGGUCUGGUGGCGAGUGGCGAACGGGUGAGUAAUGUAUCGGAACGUGCCCAGUCGUGGGGGAUAACGUAGUGAAAAUUACGCUAAUACCGCAUACGAUCUAUGGAUGAAAGCGGGGGUGCGCAAGACCUCGCGCGAUUGGACCUGCGGCAAUCUGAUUAGGUAGAUGGGGGGGUAAAGGCCCACCAAGCCAACGAUCUGUAGCUGGUCUGAGAGGACGACCAGCCACACUGGAACUGAGACACGGUCCAGACUCCUACGGGAGGCAGCGGUGGGGAAUUUUGGACAAUGGGCGGAAGCCUGAUCCAGCCAUUCCGCGUGCAGGAUGAAGGCCCUCGGGUUGUAAACUGCUUUUGUACAGAACGAAAAGGUUUCUACUAAUACUAGGAGCUCAUGACGGUACUGUAAGAAUAAGCACCGGCUAACUACGUGCCAGCCGCCGCCGUAA